AGUGAACGCUGGCGGUAGGCCUAACACAUGCAAGUCGAACGGCAGCACAGUAAGAGCUUGCUCUUACGGGUGGCGAGUGGCGGACGGGUGAGGAAUACAUCGGAAUCUACUUUUUCGUGGGGGAUAACGUAGGGAAACUUACGCUAAUACCGCAUACGACCUACGGGUGAAAGCAGGGGAUCUUCGGACCUUGCGCGAUUGAAUGAGCCGAUGUCGGAUUAGCUAGUUGGCGGGGUAAAGGCCCACCAAGGCGACGAUCCGUAGCUGGUCUGAGAGGAUGAUCAGCCACACUGGAACUGAGACACGGUCCAGACUCCUACGGGAGGCAGCAGUGGGGAAUAUUGGACAAUGGGCGCAAGCCUGAUCCAGCCAUACCGCGUGGGUGAAGAAGGCCUCCGGGUUGUAAAGCCCUUUUGUUGGGAAAGAAAAGCAGCAGGUUAAUACCCCGCUGUUCUGACGGUACCCAAAGAAUAAGCACCGGCUAUCUUCGUG
RNAcentral lists this ribosomal RNA (492 nucleotides) under uncultured bacterium. RNAcentral describes it as "partial 16S ribosomal RNA". It matches the Rfam family "Bacterial small subunit ribosomal RNA", at positions 29 to 507 of the family's 1533-position model. The record is from RNAcentral.